GACGAACGCUGGCGGCGUGCUUAACACAUGCAAGUCGAACGGAAAGGCCCUGCUUUUGUGGGGUGCUCGAGUGGCGAACGGGUGAGUAACACGUGAGUAACCUGCCCUUGACUUUGGGAUAACUUCAGGAAACUGGGGCUAAUACCGGAUAAGAGCUCCUGCUGCAUGGUGGGGGUUGGAAAGUUUCGGCGGUUGGGGAUGGACUCGCGGCUUAUCAGCUUGUUGGUGGGGUAGUGGCUUACCAAGGCUUUGACGGGUAGCCGGCCUGAGAGGGUGACCGGCCACAUUGGGACUGAGAUACGGCCCAGACUCCUACGGGAGGCAGCAGUGGGGAAUAUUGCACAAUGGGCGGAAGCCUGAUGCAGCAACGCCGCGUGCGGGAUGACGGCCUUCGGGUUGUAAACCGCUUUCGCCUGUGACGAAGCGUGAGUGACGGUAAUGGAUAAAGAAGCACCGGCUAACUACGUG
RNAcentral lists this ribosomal RNA (468 nucleotides) under uncultured bacterium. Its description in RNAcentral is "partial 16S ribosomal RNA". It matches the Rfam family "Bacterial small subunit ribosomal RNA", at positions 28 to 507 of the family's 1533-position model. The record is from RNAcentral.